This is a non-coding RNA of Podarcis lilfordi (Lilford's wall lizard), 76 nucleotides long. The record is from the annotation of a GenBank genome assembly. Lineage: Eukaryota; Metazoa; Chordata; Lepidosauria; Squamata; Lacertidae.
GUGAUAGCUCAAUGGGUAGAACGUAUGACUCUUAAUCUCAGGGUCGUGGGUUCAACCCCUACACUGGGGAGAAACU